Molecule: long non-coding RNA, 606 nt
Filed under: Marmota monax (woodchuck)
Lineage: Eukaryota; Metazoa; Chordata; Mammalia; Rodentia; Sciuridae
Source: RNAcentral
CUUUUAUAAAGAAAAUCAGAAACAUUUACCAAAAGAGAGUAAAAUAGAACUGAAAAAAAUGAAGAACUAUAAAUAACUAUCCAUGUUUUUGGACAGAAAGACUAAUAUUUUUAAAGCUAUGAAUUCUCCUAAAAGUAAUCUACAAAUUCUCAGUAAUUCUAAAGGAAAUAGUAGUGUGAUUUUUUUGAAAUAACAAGUUUGUCAUAAAAGUCAAGAAUAACUAAGACAAAGGGAGGCACAAACACUAUUAAAUAUCAAAAUAAUUUCCAAUUGGAUUAUAGUCUCAAAUAUAAAAAGCAAUGUGUUAAAACUAUUAGAAAAAAAAUAAAAAACUACUUUAUAUUUUAGGUAUGACAUUAAAAUUAUAAAGCACUGAAGAAAAAUAGACAUCACUGCUGUGUGAAUGAAAGAUGAUAUAAACACUGAUUGGAAUAAGAUAUUUGAAAUGAACCUAAUCUGUGGAAAACAGUCAAUAUUGAAAGCUUGAAAGGCCUGCCUGCAAGGUUGGUCCUUGGUUGGCAUCUGGGGACUUGGAUUUCAGGAGGAUUCCUACCAUUCUCAGAACUUCUAAGACUGGCUCAGUGUGCCUAAACUAUUUGAAUAAAU